This 614-nucleotide ribosomal RNA is filed under the name uncultured Crater Lake bacterium CL500-92. Its description in RNAcentral is "bacterial SSU rRNA". It matches the Rfam family "Bacterial small subunit ribosomal RNA", at positions 16 to 671 of the family's 1533-position model. The record is from RNAcentral.
AUCAUGGCUCAGGAUGAACGCUGGCGAGAUGCCUUACACAUGCAAGUCAUACGAGAAUUUUUAAUUCAAGUGGCGGACGGGUGAGUAACACGUAAGAAUUUGCCUUUAGGAGGGGGACAACAACUGGAAACGGUUGCUAAUACCCCAUAUGCUUUCGAGUGAAACGGAAUUUUCCGCCUAAAGAGAAGCUUGCGGCUGAUUAGCUUGUUGGUGAGGUAAUGGCUUACCAAGGCGACGAUCAGUAUCUGGUUUGAGAGGAUGAUCAGACACACUGGAACUGAGACACGGUCCAGACUCCUACGGGAGGCAGCAGUGGGGAAUUUUCCGCAAUGGGCGAAAGCCUGACGGAGCAAUCUCGCGUGAGGGAUGACGGCCUAUGGGUUGUAAACCUCUUUUUUCAGGGAGGAAUAAAUGACGUGUACCUGAAGAAUAAGCAUCGGCUAACUCCGUGCCAGCAGCCGCGGUAAGACGGAGGAUGCAAGUGUUAUCCGGAAUCACUGGGCGUAAAGCGUCUGUAGGUGGUUUGAUAAGUCAACUGUUAAAUCUUGAAGCUCAACUUCAAAAUCGCAGUCGAAACUAUCAGACUAGAGUAUAGUAGGGGUAAAGGAAUUCCA